AAGUCGUAACAAGGUCUCCGUAGGUGAACCUGCGGAGGGAUCAUUAACGUGACCCGGGCCCUGCGGGAGCGCGUGCUUGCACGAAUUCCCGUAGCGCUACCGGGGGUAAAUCACACCCCAUGUCGUCUGACCAUGUUGCCUCGGGGGCGGCCCUGUCGCGGGGCCCCCGUCGGACUAAACCAAACCCUUGCGUAUCCAUGCAGUCUGAGUGGUUUAUGAAUAAAUCAAAA
This 230-nucleotide unclassified non-coding RNA is filed under the name plant metagenome. Its description in RNAcentral is "partial contains small subunit ribosomal RNA and internal transcribed spacer 1". The stretch from base 1 to 46 matches the Rfam family "Eukaryotic small subunit ribosomal RNA", at positions 1786 to 1831 of the family's 1831-position model. The record is from RNAcentral.